GGAGGUGGGGUGAUAAAGUGGGAGAGGGGGAGGGGCUGCUGAGGAAGGCCACAGGGGCUAAGGAGGAUUUCCUCAGAGCUUUUGGGAAGCUAUACGUUCCUGGCCCCGAGGUAAAGCUCCCACAGGCUGCUUGACCCAACAGAGCAGCUCCUACCCACUGGGAUUCUCGGUCUGCAGGAAUCUGGCAUCCACCUGGGGAGCAUCUGGCUGAGGCAGCCUGGAGACAGGCACGCACCAGAAGACUUCUGGUUCCAUCCAGGCCCAAGGACCACUGAACUGGAGCGGUCUUCUCCAUCCCCCAGCAAGCCUGUGCGUGAGCUGGGGACAAGGGGCAGAGGAGGCAGAGGUCCCCCUCACACCAGGAAGGGAACAGCGCCACUAAAGGGCCUGGUGGAGGCAGGGUGGAGGUGGAAGGAGACUCAGCAGAAGGGGCCUGAACACCCUGUCCUACCUGGUCCUACCUGGAUGCUGGCCUCAGUAAGCUCCUGGGCUCAUUGAAGAUGAACCUAGCAGUAGUAUUUACACCACUUGUUGUGUGCCCACUGUGGGCCCGGCGCCAUGCCGAGUGCUCUAUGGAUGUGAGAUGAGAACACUGAAGCAGUUUUUUCUAAAGAUAGCUGCCUGGCACAGUGGCUCACAUCUGUAGUCCCAGCAUUUGGGGAGGCCAAGGCAGGUGGAUCACUUGAGGCCAGGAAUUCAAGACCAGCAUGGCCAACAUGUGCUGGGAGAGAAAAGCAUACGACAUAGACAGGGAGGUCAAGCUCCACCACGCAGAUGAGGUGCAGGCCACCAGUCUUCCUCUGCCACAUCUCUUUCUGAAAAGGCAGCCUGUGCUGAGAAACCAUGACUGAGUAAGCCAAGCUUUGUUGGCCGCACCUGCCAAGCCACAGGGUGCCUCAGGCUUGGAGCAUCCCGGAGCCAGUUACAACCCAAGACUUCAGCCUUCUGGAAGGUGUUGGGUCAGCCACCCUGAAGGACGAUCCUGCCCAAGUGACAUGCUUUGCUCUUCCUUCUCACCCAGGACUUCACAUUCACCCUUGCAAUCCAUGUGGGGACACUGUUGGAUAGGAGGCGUGGUCCCAGCGUGGUCUCCCUGUCUGGGCCUCUGCCUAUGCCAAAUGUUUGCCUUACGCUGCACACUCAAGAGGUUCCAUGUAUACAGAUGGGAAUUCCAGAGCUACAGAAAAGGCAGCAAGCACCAUGAUUUAAGCUAACCAGUGUGGAUUCACACCUUCCUCUCUCUCUAUCAGUGGCAGAACUACCAGCUAGAGUAAGAAGUGGUUGAUCCAGGACCUAAACAUUCUGGAAACUCUUGCCCACUUCUGGGAGAAAUGACCCAAUCCAUAGUACUAAGCACACCUUAACUUUCGUAGGACGCAGGCAAGUUGUCAUACCGUGUGCCUAAAUAUAGAAAAAUGAUCCACUGGACUAAUAAAGUGUUAAAUAAAAUA
Molecule: long non-coding RNA, 1451 nt
Organism: Homo sapiens (human)
Lineage: Eukaryota; Metazoa; Chordata; Mammalia; Primates; Hominidae
Product: long intergenic non-protein coding RNA 2395
Source: Ensembl